AGGCGGCGGACGGGNGGAGGUAAUGUCGUGGGAAACGUGGCUGAGUGGAGGGGGAUAACUAGCGUGGAAAGGGNAGCUAGAUGACCGCAUGAACGUCGGCAAGAGCAAAGAGGGGGACCUUCGGGCCUCUUGCCAUCAGAUGUGCCCAGAUGGGAUUAGCUAGUAGGUGGGGUAACGGCUCACCUAGGCGACGAUCCCUAGCUGGUCUGAGAGGAUGACCAGCCACACUGGAACUGAGACACGGUCCAGACUCCUACGGGAGGCAGCAGUGGGGAAUAUUGCACAAUGGGCGCAAUGCCUGAUGCAGCCAUGCCGCGUGUAUGAAGAAGGCCUUCGGGUUGUAAAGUACUUUCAGCGGGGAGGAAGGCGUUGAGGCUAAUAACCUCAGCGAUUGACGUUACCCGCAGAAGAAGCACCGGCUAACUCCGUGCCAGCAGCCGCGGUAAUACGGAGGGUGCAAGCGUUAAUCGGAAUUACUGGGCGUAAAGCGCACGCAGGCGGUCUGUCAAGUCGGAUGUGAAAUCCCCGNGGCUCAACCUGGGAACUGCAUUCGAAACUGGCAGGCUAGAGUCUUGUAGAGGGGGGUAGAAUUCCAGGUGUAGCGGUGAAAUGCGUCAGACGAUCUGGAGGAAUACCGGUUGGCGAAGGCGGCCCCUGGACAAAGACUGACGCUCAGGUGCGAAAGCGUGGGGAGCAAACAGGAUNAGAUACCCUGGAUAGUCACGCCGAGCGAUG
RNAcentral lists this ribosomal RNA (735 nucleotides) under Klebsiella aerogenes. RNAcentral describes it as "bacterial SSU rRNA". It matches the Rfam family "Bacterial small subunit ribosomal RNA", at positions 93 to 811 of the family's 1533-position model. Lineage: Bacteria; Pseudomonadati; Pseudomonadota; Gammaproteobacteria; Enterobacterales; Enterobacteriaceae. The record is from RNAcentral.